Molecule: ribosomal RNA, 244 nt
Filed under: Entamoeba sp.
Lineage: Eukaryota; Evosea; Mastigamoebida; Endamoebidae
Description: partial small subunit ribosomal RNA
Rfam family: Eukaryotic small subunit ribosomal RNA
Source: RNAcentral
UGACCAUAAACGAUGUCAACUAAGGAUUGGAUAAGAAAUUUUCGAAGUACGGGUUUCUAAUAUCAACAAGCGACAGCUUGGCGAUUCUGAAACUGUCUUCAAUUCUUCCCUUAUUCAGGACUUGAUGAGAAAUCAUUAAGUGAAUGGACUUCAGGGGGAGUAUGGUCACAAGGCUGAAACUUAAAGGAAUUGACGGAAGGGCACACCAGGAGUGGAGCCUGCGGCUUAAUUUGACUCAACACGG